CAAACAGCGGACCUCUGCCACAGAGAUGAAGGCAGUUCCCGGGCCCAGCAGUGGGACGUGCUGUCACUCCAUUGGGAUGAUUUUCCCUAAGCGACUCCUGGUUGUUACUUGGAUUCUAAACCGGCAGGAGCAGCCCCUACGGGCAGAGAUGGGCUGAGCAGGGGCUGCAAGGGGGCUAUGGGUGCACAAAGGUCUACAGGCGGGAUGGAACUGACGCAUCCAUCCUGCGGGCCCCAGGGGCUGUGUGACCAGGGAUGGAGGGAGGGCAUGACGUCACAGUCACCCUGGCAGAAAAGCCAGGUCUGUGAGGUCAUGGAGCUCUGGGGCCCUUCUCCCCUGCCUUGGGCACUGUGUUUUGUUUUGUUUUGUUUUUGCUUUUGCUUUUUGGUGUUUUUUGCCUUCAAAGAGGAAGGAAUGGAUGAACAGGCAAGAGAAGAACAGAGGGGAGGAGGCUGGGAAGCCAGCUCACCACUCUCCCCGUAUUUGGGAGUCGAUACGCCCUCCUCCACUCCCCGUGACCCUUACUAGUGAGGAUGGACUGAGCAAAGGAGCCUUCAGAGUCACAGGACACACUCCCAAAACGGAUGCCAGGGCAUCAGCUCUGGGUCUGGAGAAGAGGACUUUCCUGCAAGGGACACUGGUUGUCCAUUCCGGAAGAGAAGACUCCCCACGGCCUGUUCUGCGCUGGCUCUCACCGACUGAGAAGCACUCCAAAUUUGUGCCCAAGACUAUACGGAGAAGCACGUAAAAGUUCUUGUCCCUGUUCUUUUCAUCAUAAAUCCUACUACAAGGACAACCGAAGGGAAAUUAUCAUACAUUUUCAUUUAAAAAUCUGGGGAGGGGAGGAAAGAGGAAACUCCUUUGCAAUCAGAUUUUCCCACAUUCACAUUUAUCCCUUAUUAACCAUUAAUGGCUCAUUCAUCACACUGUAGAACUAUUGUGCAAAGAUGCAUACAUUUACCCCA
Long non-coding RNA from Panthera uncia (snow leopard), 965 nucleotides. RefSeq lists it as uncharacterized. The transcript has 2 exons. The record is from RefSeq and is a predicted model, not a curated record. NCBI's taxonomy places the organism in Eukaryota, Metazoa, Chordata, Mammalia, Carnivora, Felidae.